RNAcentral lists this ribosomal RNA (245 nucleotides) under uncultured bacterium. RNAcentral's name for it is "partial 16S ribosomal RNA". It matches the Rfam family "Bacterial small subunit ribosomal RNA", at positions 334 to 593 of the family's 1533-position model. The record is from RNAcentral.
UUUCCCUACGGGACGCAGCAGUGGGGAAUAUUGGGCAAUGGGCGCAAGCCUGACCCAGCAACGCCGCGUGAAGGAAGAAGGCUUUCGGGUUGUAAACUUCUUUUCUCAGGGACGAAGAAAGUGACGGUACCUGAGGAAUAAGCCACGGCUAACUACGUGCCAGCAGCCGCGGUAAUACGUAGGUGGCAAGCGUUAUCCGGAUUUAUUGUGUGUAAAGGGCGUGUAGGCGGGUGCGCUAGUUAGAU